AGUCCCGUGGUGUAGCGGCCAAUCAUAAUGGCCUUUGGACGUGACUGGUUUUCCAGUUGCGGAAGACAGCCAUUGACGGCGGUUCGAAUCCGCCCGGGACUA
Haladaptatus litoreus is the source of this 102-nucleotide transfer RNA. It matches the Rfam family "tRNA". Rfam says of the family: Transfer RNA (tRNA) molecules are approximately 80 nucleotides in length. Their secondary structure includes four short double-helical elements and three loops (D, anti-codon, and T loops). NCBI's taxonomy places the organism in Archaea, Methanobacteriati, Methanobacteriota, Halobacteria, Halobacteriales, Haladaptataceae. The record is from Rfam.